GAUGAACGCUGGCGGCGUGCCUAAUACAUGCCAGUCGAGCGAACAGAUGAGGAGCUUGCUCCUCUGACGUUAGCGGCGGACGGGUGAGUAACACGUGGAUAACCUACCCAUAAGACUGGGCUAACUUCGGGAAACCGGAGCUAAUACCGGAUAAUAUAUUGAACCGCAUGGUUCAAUAGUGAAAGACGGUUUUGCUGUCACUUAUAGAUGGAUCCGCGCCGCAUUAGCUAGUUGGUAAGGUAACGGCUUACCAAGGCAACGAUGCGUAGCCGACCUGAGAGGGUGAUCGGCCACACUGGAACUGAGACACGGUCCAGACUCCUACGGGAGGCAGCAGUAGGGAAUCUUCCGCAAUGGGCGAAAGCCUGACGGAGCAACGCCGCGUGAGUGAUGAAGGUCUUCGGAUCGUAAAACUCUGUUAUUAGGGAAGAACAAAUGUGUAAGUAACUAUGCACGUCUUGACGGUACCUAAUCAGAAAGCCACGGCUAACUACGUG
RNAcentral lists this ribosomal RNA (497 nucleotides) under uncultured bacterium. Its description in RNAcentral is "partial 16S ribosomal RNA". It matches the Rfam family "Bacterial small subunit ribosomal RNA", at positions 28 to 507 of the family's 1533-position model. The record is from RNAcentral.